AUUAUUUUUUAUUUUUUUAUAGGCCAUAUUUCAAUAUUAGAUUAAAAGCAGAAGUUAUAUUUUUAAACUCGUUAGCACUUAUGUGUGCAGGAGGACUAAUUUUUUUGUUUAUUUAUGUAAAAAAGAAAAAAAAAAAAAAAAAAAUAAAAUAAAUAAUCAAAUAUAUAUAACUUAAAAUGAUCAAUAUAUACAAAUACAAAAAUAAAUGGAUAUGUUUUUGAUAAAAAUAAAAUAAGCAUAAAAAUAUAUGUGUAUAUGUAAGUAUGUUUUUUAUACUAUUUAUAAUAAUAACAGUUUUAUGAAAGUAGGCUCAUUUAAUUUUUUUUUUUUUUACUUUAUUUAUGUGAAACAUUUUACAGAUGCAUAGAAUAGACAGGAAAUUAUUACCUAAAAAUAUUAUAAAAUAUUUACUCAAUAGAUAUCAUAUGGACUCGUGCGAACAAAACAUAAACCAGAUUACUCCUUAUUAUAAAUUAUUAAAACAACAAUCACUUUACCCUUCAAAAAUAAAUUAUUUCCUUUAUAAAACCACAUUCCCGAAUAAACACGAACAAUUAUUCCUAUUUUGGGGCAAUGGACCAGCUAUACUAAAUUUUAUUUUUCAAACACUAUGUUUUUGUUUCUUAAUCAUAUUGUCUUGCUGGAUGUUUUUAUUAAAAGUAGAUAAUAUAACAUGGUUACAAUUAUAUAAAUACGGUAGUUUAAUUAUAUGUGGAUGUAUAUUAUUUUUUACAUUUAUAUUAAAAUAUAUUGUGUAUUAUUUUAUAAUGAUAAGUAAAACGGGUUAUUUAAUUGACACGAAGUUGUUAGAAAAGGUAUGGGAAUUUGAAAGAUCAGAUAACAUAAAGAGAAUAUCCGAAUUUAUUGAUGCUAUAAAAAUAAAGUCCACCUUACAUGCACUUAAAGAAGGAGGGGAUGUAUUUUGGAGACAGUUGUUAAUAAAAUCAAGCACAGUGCCAUCAAAUAUACAGGAAAAAAUGUUUUCCAUAUGGGUUAGUUUAGAUGAGGAAAAUAGAGGUGUUAUUGAUUCUGUAAAAAUAUUAAAAUUUUUAAAAUCUCAGGGAAUUAAUUUGAAUUCAGAAAAUGAUGUUAAAGAAUUCUUGGAAGUAUUUGAUAGAAAUAACAAAAAAGGUUUAAAUCAGGAAGAGUUUUUUGUUCUUAUUAUUAUAGUUAAACAAAUUCUUGUAGAACUUUUAGAUAUUAAUGCUGUUCAGUCUUUAUUCGAAGAAGUGUACUGCAUACCAUGGAAUUCGAUGUCGUCAAUUGACGUUAACAGUUUAAAAAAAAUAUUAUCCGAAGUAAGAAAAAGGAAAAAUUAUAGAAGCAACAUAUUAAUUAAACUUUACAA
RNAcentral lists this long non-coding RNA (1348 nucleotides) under Piliocolobus tephrosceles (Ugandan red Colobus). Its description in RNAcentral is "lncRNA (ENSPTEG00000024293.1)". Lineage: Eukaryota; Metazoa; Chordata; Mammalia; Primates; Cercopithecidae. The record is from RNAcentral.